Molecule: ribosomal RNA, 255 nt
Filed under: uncultured bacterium
Lineage: Bacteria
Description: partial 16S ribosomal RNA
Rfam family: Bacterial small subunit ribosomal RNA
Source: RNAcentral
UACGUAGGGUGCAAGCGUUGUCCGGAAUUAUUGGGCGUAAAGAGCUCGUAGGCGGUUUUGUCGCGUCUGCUGUGAAAACCCGAGGCUCAACCUCGGGCCUGCAGUGGGUACGGGCAGACUAGAGUGCGGUAGGGGGAGAUUGGAAUUCCUGGUGUAGCGGUGGAAUGCGCAGAUAUCAGGAGGAACACCAAUGGCGAAGGCAGAUCUCUGGGCCGUAACUGACGCUGAGGUACGAAAGCGUGGGGAGCAAACAGG